CCCGCCCUAGCUCAGUUUGGCAGAGCGGACGGCUGUAGACCGUCUGGUCCCCCGUUCAAAUCGGGGGGGCGGGA
RNAcentral lists this transfer RNA (74 nucleotides) under archaeon SCG-AAA382B04. RNAcentral describes it as "tRNA-Tyr". It matches the Rfam family "tRNA". From Rfam's summary of the family: Transfer RNA (tRNA) molecules are approximately 80 nucleotides in length. Their secondary structure includes four short double-helical elements and three loops (D, anti-codon, and T loops). The record is from RNAcentral.